Molecule: long non-coding RNA, 2878 nt
Organism: Cygnus atratus (black swan)
Lineage: Eukaryota; Metazoa; Chordata; Aves; Anseriformes; Anatidae
Exons: 3
Source: RefSeq, a predicted model, not a curated record
UUGCAGACACACAAAAGAAGGGGAAAACAGAGGCCCACCGAUGUGAUAAUACUUGUCAGAUGCUAUUAACAGCAGGGCGCAGUUAAUUGAGUGUGUUGCGUUAUCACCUGGCUUUAGCCAUGAUGGCUACUGCUGACGUCCACGCGGAACUGUAGCUGGAUGGAGAAUCAAAAGCUGUUUUCUGCCUGUUGCUUCUAUUAGAAAUUACAGCCUUUGAGUUACAGAGUUUAAGGGCACCGCAGGGAUCAUUUUGUCCAUCUCCCUGCCCCACGGCAGAGCCAGGCCUAAAUCAUUCAGCCAGCCUGCGGGCUCGGGCUGAAACAGUGGGGAGGUGCCUGGGGAGGAGAAGAGAACGAUGGGGAGGAGAUCCCCUUUCCUACCAGCUGCCUUUCUGUCAAGGGCGGGGACAGUCAGCUUGGGGUUUGCUUGUACCCAUUGCCCGUUCCACUUUAUUCUGCAGUCUGGGAAGCAGGCAAAGGGCUGGAUCAGCCCCUUGCAAGUGCCCAGCAGAGCACUUGUCACAGCUUCCCUCGCUGUAGAAUCACUUUGGUCUCCAGCGUCCAUUUCCACAAAGUGCUGUACCUGCGGGUGGCCUCAAAAAUGCGGCUCGCCCGCCGCUGCUCAUCAGGAGAGCCCCACAGCAGAGCUCACUGUUAAGGAAGUCCCGUCUCCAGCAGCCAGCCUUGUGCUGCAUUCACUGGAAACAAUCUUUCCCUGUUCAUGUCUCCUUCACAGAGCUGUCUGAUUACACUCUUGUCCUGCUGCGUGCCUGCUGUGAUCUACAGGUUGUUCCGGCAUUGUGUUGCUUGCCUAAUAUCGCUUCAGCUGACGGCACCUUGGCACUGAGCAGUCCUUUGGUGGCUACUCUGACUGACAGAGGAAGAUUCGAUGUCGUGCAAAGGCUUUUUGCUUCAUCAAGCAUUAAUUUGGAAAUGACAGAGUCUUCUGUAAAAGUUGUCACUGCGAGAGAACCUCGCUUCUUCCCGCUCCUUCUUUAUGUUGCACUGUACGGACUUCAUAGUUUAGGUGGGACUGCAUAGGAGCUUUGCUGAGCAGUCACUGUCCCAGCCUGUUCUUAAUUCUGUAGCUGUGCAAUAGCGCCGAGGUUUGUGAGCUGGCAAUAGAGCAGCUGAAUACUAGGGGGUCUGUGGGGGCGAGGCAGGCGGCAGCGAGCCCUCUGCUGCCGUAAGAAGGUGAGCUGCAGCUCCGCAAUUUCACUAAGGUAACGUCUGCAGUGGAAAAUACAUAAAUAAGUAAAUAAGGAAUGCAGGGGAGGAAGGAAGAAAAAAAAAAGACAAGCCUGGAACAGAAAUUGAACAUAGCUGUUCUGAUAGUUGUCAGAUCUGCAGAGCGGUAGAAGCCUGAUUGCUCGCAUUAAUAUGCGUGGGAGAAAACUGCAAAGUACCAACUGCUUUUUGUAAGCAGGCAAACAGGCCGUGGAAGUCCAAGGUUCUGCAGUGCAGUGUAUGUUUUGCUCAUUUGAAACCUGAGGUGCAGAAUGCCUUCAAUCUGGAGGAGGUGAAGUGGAGGGCUCUGGAAGAGGUACUUAAUUAGGUUUUCAUUUAUUAAGUGUAGUUUGGCAUCAAGCCAUGUGAACUGCACGCUGCAGGAAAUAAUAAACUCUUUUUUCAAAAAACUAAGACCACCUUAGGGAUUUAUGCCUCUGUUUUCAACUAAGUUUUUACUAAGCGUAGCAAGUUUCAGCUGUUCAAAUUGCAUUUUGAACUUUCUCUUUGAGAUAUUGUGAUGCCUUCUGGUAUGUGCGUACGAAAUGUCCCUGCAGCACUCCACCAAAGCAAUCGUUUCAUCCAUGUGACAUUUUCAGUGCGGGUGUUUUGCUUAUGCCUUUGACUAAUGGCAAAGAGUUAGCAAAGCACUUUGUGCUUUGAGCUGUUUUGUCUUUUUUUAAUCAUACUUUUCUGUGAUCGUGCGAAUGGGACAGAAGCGCAGUGGAGAUCACUGUAAAUAGGGGCUGGGGAAGAUGUUGUUCCAGAUAAAUGGAAUAUCGGUGCUUUCAGGUAAGACUGAGAUGGCUGACAGGGAAGCAAGCAGGUGUCUGUAGGGAGGGCUGGUCAGUGCACAGGCCCUCCAGUUUACAUAAAGGGUAGGAAUCGUAGCUUCAGUUUUCUGCUCUGUUCCCACAUGGUCUUGAGCAGAUCGCCCAAGAGGUCUUCAAAAGCUCAUGUCAGUUAAGCUUUCCCUGAGAAAAUGGACUUUGCAAAAAAAGCACCGUGGUACCUUUCCGUACCUGAGAGCGCAAGAUACUUUCGCAGACUGAAGUGUUGGCGUUUCUGUGUCUCGUGUGUAAAAUGAAGCUCACAGUGUUGCCUGAACGUGGCACUGGUGGAUAUGGAAAUGUCCUUUUGGGGGGGGGGGGGUGUAGGAGUGCUUGUAGGAGUUGUGCGUUUGUAAACGGGAAGGUUUUUCUGCCAGCCACUGCUCAAAAGUUGCCUCUGUAACUAAUUUAUCAGAAAUUUGUAUUAAAUGUCAUAGCAAAACAAUAGAAUGACUUAAAACUUAAUGUACCUGAUUUCUGCUUAUCCUUUUUUGAUUCCCGUCAUACCCUUGGCUUUGAAAGUUGGUGCACACAGGCACGAAGAGGACGUGUGAAUCCGUGUAGUGCUACCGUUCGCUUGUCCUGGUCUUCAGAGUCUUGGUGAUGGAUCCUCUUCCCUGCAGAAGCCGGUGGUUGUGCAUGGCAGCCACCAGUCUUGGCUCUGUCCUUUAUGUGCUGCCUCUCCUCUGGGAUCACAGAAGCACCUCUAGACGAACAGAUAGCCUGGAAUGCUUUUUGAAAAACAGAGUAGCACAGGUGGGUAAAAAUGAGCUGCUAAAGCAAUUUAUACGUUCACGUCUCUCUAUGUAACAAUUCAUUUCU